This 87-nucleotide transfer RNA is filed under the name Desulfobacter hydrogenophilus. RNAcentral's name for it is "tRNA-Leu". It matches the Rfam family "tRNA". From Rfam's summary of the family: Transfer RNA (tRNA) molecules are approximately 80 nucleotides in length. The record is from RNAcentral. RNAcentral also lists the same sequence under 2 other names. Lineage: Bacteria; Pseudomonadati; Thermodesulfobacteriota; Desulfobacteria; Desulfobacterales; Desulfobacteraceae.
GCCUGGGUGGCGGAACUGGUAGACGCAAGGGACUUAAAAUCCCUCGCCCGCAAGGGUGUACGAGUUCAAUUCUCGUCCCAGGUACCA